Molecule: ribosomal RNA, 1161 nt
Filed under: uncultured bacterium
Lineage: Bacteria
Description: bacterial SSU rRNA
Rfam family: Bacterial small subunit ribosomal RNA
Source: RNAcentral
GAGUCAACUCCUAUAGGGGCGAUUGGGCCCGACGUCGCAUGCUCCCGGCCGCCAUGGCCGCGGGAUUAACCCUGAUGCAGCAACGCCGCGUGAGGGAUGACGGCCUUCGGGUUGUAAACCUCUUUUAGUAGGGAAGAAGCGAAAGUGACGGUACCUGCAGAAAAAGCACCGGCUAACUACGUGCCAGCAGCCGCGGUAAUACGUAGGGUGCAAGCGUUGUCCGGAAUUAUUGGGCGUAAAGAGCUCGUAGGCGGCUUGUCGCGUCUGCUGUGAAAUCCCGGGGCUCAACCCCGGGCCUGCAGUGGGUACGGGCAAGCUAGAGUGCGGUAGGGGAGAUUGGAAUUCCUGGUGUAGCGGUGGAAUGCGCAGAUAUCAGGAGGAACACCGAUGGCGAAGGCAGAUCUCUGGGCCGCUACUGACGCUGAGGAGCGAAAGCAUGGGGAGCGAACAGGAUUAGAUACCCUGGUAGUCCAUGCCGUAAACGUUGGGAACUAGAUGUAGGGCCUGUUCCACGGGUUCUGUGUCGUAGCUAACGCAUUAAGUUCCCCGCCUGGGGAGUACGGCCGCAAGGCUAAAACUCAAAGGAAUUGACGGGGGCCCGCACAAGCGGCGGAGCAUGCGGAUUAAUUCGAUGCAACGCGAAGAACCUUACCAAGGCUUGACAUACACUGGAAUGUGCCAGAGAUGGUUCAGCCCUUUUGGGCUGGUGUACAGGUGGUGCAUGGUUGUCGUCAGCUCGUGUCGUGAGAUGUUGGGUUAAGUCCCGCAACGAGCGCAACCCUCGUUCUAUGUUGCCAGCGCGUGAUGGUGGGAACUCAUAGGAGACUGCCGGGGUCAACUCGGAGGAAGGUGGGGAUGACGUCAAAUCAUCAUGCCCUUUAUGUCUUGGGCUUCACGCAUGCUACAAUGGUCGGUACAAAGGGUUGCGAUGCCGUGAGGUGGAGCGAAUCCCAGAAAGCCGAUCUCAGUUCGGAUCGUAGUCUGCAACUCGACUACGUGAAGUCGGAGUCGCUAGUAAUCGCAGAUCAGCAACGCUGCGGUGAAUACGUUCCCGGGCCUUGUACACACCGCCCGUCAAGUCACGAAAGUCGGUAACACCCGAAGCCGGUGGCCCAACCCUUGUGGGGGGAGCCGUCGAAGGUGGGAUAGAUGAUUGGGGUG